GAGUUUGAUCUUGGCUCAGAGCGAACGCUGGCGGCAGGCUUAACACAUGCAAGUCGAGCGGGCCCUUCGGGGUCAGCGGCGGACGGGUGAGUAACGCGUGGGAACGUGCCUUCUGGUUCGGAAUAACCCUGGGAAACUAGGGCUAAUACCGGAUACGCCCUCUUGGGGGAAAGGUUUACUGCCCGGAAGAUCGGCCCGCGUCUGAUUAGCUAGUUGGUGGGGUAAUGGCCUACCAAGGCGACGAUCAGUAGCUGGUCUGAGAGGAUGAUCAGCCACACUGGGACUGAGACACGGCCCAGACUCCUACGGGAGGCAGCAGUGGGGAAUAUUGGACAAUGGGCGCAAGCCUGAUCCAGCCAUGCCGCGUGAGUGAUGAAGGCCUUAGGGUUGUAAAGCUCUUUUAUCCGGGACGAUAAUGACGGUACCGGAGGAAUAAGCCCCGGCUAACUUCGUGCCAGCAGCCGCUGU
This 468-nucleotide ribosomal RNA is filed under the name uncultured microorganism. RNAcentral describes it as "bacterial SSU rRNA". It matches the Rfam family "Bacterial small subunit ribosomal RNA", at positions 9 to 521 of the family's 1533-position model. The record is from RNAcentral.